CCUGGUGGUUCUGGCGGGGGUUCCCCACCCGAUCCCAUUCCGAACUCGGUCGUUAAGUCCCCCAGCGCUGAUGGUACUGUGUCUUAAGGCACGGGAGAGUAAGUCGCUGCCAGGU
This 115-nucleotide ribosomal RNA is filed under the name Alphaproteobacteria bacterium 32-64-14. RNAcentral also lists the same sequence under 1 other name. Lineage: Bacteria; Pseudomonadati; Pseudomonadota; Alphaproteobacteria. The record is from RNAcentral.